ACAAGCAGCGGAGCGUGUGGUUUAAUUCGUUGCUACACGAAGAACCUUACCUGGGUUUGACAUAUAGGUUGUAGGGAACUGAAGGGACCGACCUUCGGGAGCCUAGACAGGUGCUGCAUGGCUGUCGUCAGCUCGUGUCGUGAGAUGUUGGGUUAAGUCCCGCAACGAGCGCAACCCUUGUCUUUAGUUGCCAUCAUUUAGUUGGGCACUCUAAAGAGACUGCCGGUGUCAAACCGGAGGAAGGUGGGGAUGACGUCAGGUCCUCAUGGCCUUUAUGACCAGGGCUACACACGUACUACAAUGGCCGGUACAAAGGGCAGCCACUUAGCGAUAAGGAGCCAAUCCCGUAAAGCCGGUCUCAGUCCGGAUUGGAGUCUGCAACUCGACUCCAUGAAGUUGGAAUCGCUAGUAAUCGCAGAUCAGCACGCUGCGGUGAAUACGUUCCCGGGCCUU
Molecule: ribosomal RNA, 453 nt
Filed under: uncultured Desulfocapsa sp.
Lineage: Bacteria; Pseudomonadati; Thermodesulfobacteriota; Desulfobulbia; Desulfobulbales; Desulfocapsaceae
Description: bacterial SSU rRNA
Rfam family: Bacterial small subunit ribosomal RNA
Source: RNAcentral